Molecule: long non-coding RNA, 2970 nt
Organism: Brassica napus (rape)
Lineage: Eukaryota; Viridiplantae; Streptophyta; Magnoliopsida; Brassicales; Brassicaceae
Exons: 2
Source: RefSeq, a predicted model, not a curated record
UACACGAAAGACGUUUAUGGAGAGAUCAAGGAUUGAUUACUUGAGAAAAGCCAAUUAUGAGAGCCGCAACUCGCAAAAUCAAAAUUUAUAAACUUUUCAGGGAACUGGAUUUUCCCCAAAAGCCAACCGAAAAAAUAUACGCAGAACAAAAUAAGAAAAACGUUCUUGAAAACAAAAGACUUAAUUCUGAAUUUUCGUAAGAGCGUUUCAGAGACCAAACGCUACAUGAUGUCCGUCUGGAAGCGAGAUUUUAAGGGAAUCAAAUGAGCAGAGUUAGAAAAAUCUAAACAAAUCCGCUAGAUUUGCAAAUAAAUCAUAUGUGAGUUGCAGCUUGAUUAGCAAAGAAGCAAAAAUAAAGCCUAAGGUUUCUAAUUGCAAAGAAUUUCAAUAGCUAAGUUUAUGUCUUCAUUAUUCUCUAUCCCGGCCUUAACUAUAUACUCCUCCAAGGUAAGCCGUGUUGCAAUUUUCCCGUAUAUACACAUCUUCCUUCUUUCCACAUUUCCUCUGAUCUUUCCUUUUUGGUACAGAUUCAAGUUUAUUCCUUUCAAAAAUCUUCCACUAUCCUGUUUUCUUCCUUAUUCUUCUCCAAGUAAAUUAAACUGCCAUUGAGAUCGGGCUACUUUACGUGUUAAGGUGAAAAUGGGCUGUUUCGUUUUUAGACCGUUAUGGACCGUUUUACGAAUUAUGCAUUUUUUACAAAUUUUCUUGGAAAAUUUGUUGAUUUGCUCGAAUUGUGUUUUUUGUGUCGUUAUGUUACAAAAUGAUAAAAAUCAUUUCAAUUUAUCAAAAACAUAUUUGGUGUUUGACUUAACCGUUAACGUCUCUACAUCUGGCUAGAUUUUAGGGAAAAUCGAGAAUUUCUUGUUUUCUCCGUAAAAUCUUAAUAGAAACUAUGAUUGUGAAAAAAUGAAGAACAUUUCAGACGAGAUUAAAGCAAGGACAUGAUGAACCGAGGAGUUGGCAAUGAUGAGGUGUAAUGGGUGAUGCUAAAGAGUGAGGGAAGGUCAUGGGCGAUGUUGAGAAGCUUGGGAGAGUAAUGGGUGAUGCUCGAAAGAGAGAGAGGGUCUUGUGGGCGAUGCUAAGCAGUGAGAGGGAGUCAAGGAUGAUGCUGAGAAUCUUGUGAGAGUAAUGGGAGAUGCUGGGGAGAGAGAGAAGGUCUUGUGGGCGAUUCUGGGAGGAGAGAAAGUCUUGGGGCGAUGCUGAGAGAGAGGAGUGUCUUGGGCGAUGCUGACUAGGAGAGAUAGUUCCCUUAUGUACAAUGUUGAGGAGAAAGGGAGGAGAGAGAGAGGGUGAUGCUUCUCUCUCAUGGCUCUGUCUCGUGUAUGCAGUUCUGCGUUGAUAGUUUUGUAUCUUCUCACUUGUUUUUAUGAAAAGUUUUUGAGAGUUUUACGGAAGUUUUUCUGUAAGAACUGUUGAAUGUAAUCAUAUACAAUACUAAAAGGAAAAUAUAAGAACUGUAAGAACUGUUGAGAGUUAGUUUUAUGGAAGAUUUUUUCGUAAACUAUUCAGUUUUAUUUUUACAUAUUUUUUUGGUAAAAACUUUCCAAAGUUAGUUUUAGGAAAGAUUGUCUCGUAAAAUUGUUUUCUUUCGUUUUCGAGAAGUUUUUCCUUAAAAACUUUCUGGAAUCAGUUUCAUGGAAAAUUGUUUUGUAAAACUUUUUGUUUCCCUAAAACCUUCCUAAAGAACGUUUUUCCAGAUAAUUCUUGUUUGGACAUACAUCUUUCUAUUUCCUUUCCAUGAAGAAAUAUAUGAUGUUCUUAUGUAUUUUUGUUCAAGUUGGCACGGCAUAUGCAGAAUCAUUCUCUUGACAUUUCCGGCUCGUUCUUUUUAAUGAUACGAUUCUUGGGUGAUUUACCAUUGAUAUCGCUAGGACAAAUUUUGAACCCAAGCACCCUAGCUUGGUAGAAUUGCAUGUAGUUCUGACGAGAUAAAAAUAACUGUUUAAGUGGAAUCAAGGGUUAAGCGUCUCCCUUCCAACCCUAAGAAUUUUUGAAAGCCGAAAAGAGGGUUGAAUGGACAUACUUUUCACAUUAUUAUAAGAAGUGGGUGUUUUCUUCAUUCUCACUUGCGUUGCUCAUCUCUUAGGAAUUUUCUUAAAGGAGAAUCUUUUUUUUCUCUCUCUCUGCUUCAAAAGACUUGUUGGGACUGCGUCAAGCAAUAUGGAUGCUCCCCCUUCUCUACGAGCACCAAGGUGAGUUUCUUAGUUCUGAGGGGUAUGACUAGGACUUCCGAGAACAGGUUGUUGGCACUCAGAAAUACUUUAUGUGUUCCGUAUCGUUCAGGGUUCUGGGAUCAAUUAUCGUGCCGAUAACCCUCCUCCUGCAUACUUCACCUUUUAUUGGCUUACCUCUCUUCUAGUUUCGUGUGGUUCCAGAUCCCGUCGUUAAUCCUCAUCUCCCUCCAUGAACAAGGAUUGGCGUACGGCCAAUUAACGUCGAGCUGGACGUGUAUCAUUUAAAGAAUCUCUUGAAGAGGUCAAAUUCUCUGAUUUGUUAUGUCAAUCCGAGACCGCUUAUGGGCAGGGCGAAUGGCGGAUCAUGGUCUCGUUACUUCUUUUAUGUUCUUGAAGAUAACACAUCUUGUGAAGAAGGCAAUCUCCCAUUUCUCAGGGCAACUUGGGGAAGGCUUGUUAGAGAUCUGAUUCCUCGCUUUGCUUCUGAUCUGUCAUAGUUCUGCAAGAUACUCUUUGACACAGGAAUGUGGACUGGGCUCUCGGAAGAGAGGGUUGAAGAAGCCAUAGCUCUUCGUGCUCCUUAGAGUCGUAGUGCGAAGCCGCUGAUGCCUAAGUAUACGAUCGAGGGUCCUGCUAUGAUUUUUGGGUCCUUUGGCCAUAACCUAGGAUUAUGAUAUUUUCUGAUGGUUGGGAUGUAUCCCGUUUUAUAUUUUAUGUUUGCUUCAGUGGCUUUCUCAUGCUGUGUAUAACAACUUCCCGUAGGGCUUUUGUAUAAUAUCUUUGUGUUGUUACAUUA